RNAcentral lists this ribosomal RNA (429 nucleotides) under Chloroflexota bacterium. RNAcentral describes it as "Chloroflexi bacterium partial 16S ribosomal RNA". It matches the Rfam family "Bacterial small subunit ribosomal RNA", at positions 355 to 776 of the family's 1533-position model. Lineage: Bacteria; Bacillati; Chloroflexota. The record is from RNAcentral.
UGGGGAAUAUUGCACAAUGGGCGCAAGCCUGAUGCAGCCAUGCCGCGUGUAUGAAGAAGGCCUUCGGGUUGUAAAGUACUUUCAGCGGGGAGGAAGGGAGUAUAGUUAAUACCUUUGCUCAUUGACGUUACCCGCAGAAGAAGCACCGGCUAACUCCGUGCCAGCAGCCGCGGUAAUACGGAGGGUGCAAGCGUUAAUCGGAAUUACUGGGCGUAAAGCGCACGCAGGCGGUUUGUUAAGUCAGAUGUGAAAUCCCCGGGCUCAACCUGGGAACUGCAUCUGAUACUGGCAAGCUUGAGUCUCGUAGAGGGGGGUAGAAUUCCAGGGGUAGCGGUGAAAUGCGUAGAGAUCUGGAGGAAUACCGGUGGCGAAGGCGGCCCCCUGGACGAGGACUGACGCUCAGGUGCGAAAGCGUGGGGAGCAAACAGG